This 574-nucleotide non-coding RNA is filed under the name Pan troglodytes (chimpanzee). The record is from RNAcentral. Lineage: Eukaryota; Metazoa; Chordata; Mammalia; Primates; Hominidae.
AGAAAAACAGGCGGCGUAGCAGGUGGGCAGCACGUUGCCAUGAUGUGCCGUGGCCCGGCCGUGGCUGGCGUGAUCCCACCAGAGUGAGCUGAAGCAGAUCUGCACCAUGGGCCAAGUUUCUCAGAAAAUACACGGCUUCCUGCGGGCUGCAGCCUAAUGCCCACGUUCCUCUUGGGGCAGACCGAAGGUUAUGCAACCAGGGCAAAGGACAGCCUUGCAAACCAACUACGUCCUCCUUCUGGAGUUUGUGUGACCCCUGGCCCCUGAGCCCACAUCCUCUCGGAGCGGGGUUCCAACUCCGUGGAAGCUCUGCUGAGAUGCAGGUCCCUCCCUUGACACCUGGGGACUACAAUUAGAGAUGAGAUUUGGAUGGGGACACAGAGAGAAAUCAUGACAGGGGCUCUCCAGAGAAGCAGCUCAGCCUUGGGCAACUUAGUUCUCCCAUCUGACCAUCCAACCCAAUAAGGCUGCUGACUCACAUAGGACCAGGUUUCAGAUAUUCUCUACUGACUAGGAAGAUGAUUUUGCUUUCAGACCACACAUACACUCAUCGCCCCUCUUGCCACCCAUCCUU